Microtus oregoni (creeping vole) is the source of this 635-nucleotide long non-coding RNA. RefSeq lists it as uncharacterized. The transcript is spliced from 4 exons. The record is from RefSeq and is a predicted model, not a curated record. NCBI's taxonomy places the organism in Eukaryota, Metazoa, Chordata, Mammalia, Rodentia, Cricetidae.
AUAAUCUCUUAAGAGGCCAAACAACAUCUUCUGGAACUGAGGGCAGGCACAUCAUCUUGCUGCCAUUUUUACCGAAGUUUCUGCUCACACAAGUCCAGCCACAAACGCUAUCUUCUAUUUCAGAGAGAGCUGCUAACACCUGUGGGACAGGGCCUCACUGUGGCAUUGAUGACAACCAAAAGCAGCCCUACACUAAGAGCAUGAGGCUGUGCAUACCAACUGCAUCUCCCAAGGGCAUGGAGGUUUUGCAAUAAAACUAACACAGGUCUUUGCAAGGGUGAGUACCAUGGAAGAGGUAACUUUUCAAGCCCAGCAGUGCUCCAUCCCCAUCACCGGAUGAGAAUUAUCUGCCAACACUGGGUGCUGUGGAACUCAUUGGCUUUAGCUGGUCUGCCUGAGCUUCUGCCAAGCACGACAUGAAGACCUGAAGAGCGGCGAGCACCUCUGGGGCUCCGUCGGUCUCCAGCAGCACAGACCUGGAGAGAGCAAGGUCUGGAGAGAUGGCUCAAUGUUAAGAGCACUUGCUGCUUUUCCAGAGGAGUUGAAUUCAACUGCCAGCCUCCAUAUCAGGCAGCUCACAACCCUCUGCACCUCUGCGGGCACCUGCACCCAUCUGCAUAUACCCACACAGACAU